RNAcentral lists this microRNA (22 nucleotides) under Sarcophilus harrisii (Tasmanian devil). Its description in RNAcentral is "Sha-Mir-1546-as_5p (mature (guide))". RNAcentral also lists the same sequence under 2 other names. Lineage: Eukaryota; Metazoa; Chordata; Mammalia; Dasyuromorphia; Dasyuridae. The record is from RNAcentral.
UAGGGAUUCUGAGAGGUGGAAG